CGAGAGUUUGAUCAUGGCUCAGGAUGAACGCUAGCGGGAGGCCUAACACAUGCAAGCCGAGCGGUAGAGAUUCUUCGGGGAUCUUGAGAGCGGCGUACGGGUGCGGAACACGUGUGCAACCUACCUUUAUCUGGAGGAUAGCCUUUCGAAAGGAAGAUUAAUACUCCAUAAUAUAUUGAUUGGCAUCGAUUGAUAUUGAAAGCUCCGGCGGAUAGAGAUGGGCACGCGCAAGAUUAGCUAGUUGGUGAGGUAACGGCUCACCAAGGCGAUGAUCUUUAGGGGCCUGAGAGGGUGAUUCCCCACACUGGUACUGAGACACGGACCAGACUCCUACGGGAGGCAGCAGUGAGGAAUAUUGGUCAAUGGGUGCAAGCCUGAGCCAGCCAUCCCGCGUGAAGGACGACUGCCCUAUGGGUUGUAAACUUCUUUUGUAUAGGGAUAAACCUACCCUCGUGAGGGUAGCUGAAGGUAUUAUACGAAUAAGCACCGGCUAACUCCGUG
Molecule: ribosomal RNA, 501 nt
Filed under: uncultured bacterium
Lineage: Bacteria
Description: bacterial SSU rRNA
Rfam family: Bacterial small subunit ribosomal RNA
Source: RNAcentral